AACGAACGCUGGCGGCGUGCCAAACACAUGCAAGUCGAGCGCGAAAGUUCUUCGGAAUGAGUAGAGCGGCGCACGGGUGAGUAACACGUGGGUAAUCUGCCUUUAGGCCUGGGAUAACUCGGGGAAACUCGAGCUAAUACCGGAUAAGACCACAUCACGAGAGUGGAGUGGGAAAAGCGGGGGUUAUCUUCGGAUACCUCGCACCAAAAGAUGAGCCCGCGUCCCAUCAGCUAGUUGGCAGGGUAAUGGCCUACCAAGGCGAAGACGGGUAGCUGGUCUGAGAGGAUGAUCAGCCACACUGGAACUGAGACACGGUCCAGACUCCUACGGGAGGCAGCAGUGGGGAAUAUUGCGCAAUGGGCGAAAACCUGACGCAGCAACGCCGUGUGAGUGAUGAAGGCCUUCGGGUCGUAAAGCUCUGUCGGCAGGAACGAAGGGUGGGCGUAUUAAUAAUGCGUUCAUUUGACGGUACCUGCAAAGGAAGCACCGGCUAACUCUGUGCCAGCAGCCGCGGUAA
This 517-nucleotide ribosomal RNA is filed under the name uncultured bacterium. RNAcentral describes it as "partial 16S ribosomal RNA". It matches the Rfam family "Bacterial small subunit ribosomal RNA", at positions 29 to 523 of the family's 1533-position model. The record is from RNAcentral.